UUGCAUUAUGUCUUUAGUUUAAAAACAUACACUAAUCCAACGAACUAGACUUUAGUUUUUCUAAACUAGAAUUAUUUUGGGGGGAGAGGGGAUCAACCCAGCUUCACGAACAUCAAUGUAAAUUGUAAGGUAAAAAUUCAAAGAUUAGAAGUCUAUCCCAUUAAGGGAAACAGACAAUUAGAGGAAGCAACAAAAAAUUUAAAUCAAUGGCAACUUCACAUUGAAUAUCUGCUACACUUUUGCUCAAUACAAGAUUCAGAUUGUUGGGUUCUGAGAAGCAGAGGCACUAACAUGCGACAUAAAUACGACACAGCACAGACACGAUGAUAUAUUAAUUUUAAAAAAAAGUAGGACACGACGCAUUGGGAACACACUGUUCUUAUUUUUUCUUCUUUUUUUUACAAAAGUAAAUAUAUGUGUGCAUAUUUUGACAUAUUAUGAAAUAUUACCUUUAAGCAUCCAAAUAACAGUCAUACAAUUCAUGAAAAAAACAAUAGAUAAGAUGGCCAACAUCAUAACAUUGUUCAAAUCCCAAUAAGUUGGUAAUUAGUUUAAGACAACAAAACAACAAAUUAGAAUCAAACAAGCCUUUUGCAAAUUUUCCUCAUGCUACAAGAAAGAAUCAAUUAGCUGUUGAUCAUGUGUUUGAGACUUAGUGUAUUGUGCGACUGUGAGAAAUUGUGGUUAAAACCCUAGAAUUUCAAACAAUACGGACUGGACACUGAACCCUAAUGGGCUUAAAAGGGUCAAAGUAGCAUGUUGUGCAUUGUCUAUUUCCGCCUAAAUUUUAGCAGAUCACUUGUCCUUUGCGUCUCCAUUGAGUGUCUUAACACGUUGAAAAAUAAAACUAAUAAAUAAUAAUAAUAAUGGACACAGCAGCUGGCAUGUGUUGGACAUGUGCCGGUAUCCAUCAGGUGAUACUGAACAAUUUUAGGAGUGUUGUGCUUUAUAGGUGGGGUUUGAGAGUUUCAGGACACUCAAUUUUUGCUUAGAUUCAUCUCCAAUUAAGUUAAUGGUCAAAAUGCACAGAAAAGAAAUGGGGCAGGGGAGUUAGAUUUUUGUGUGGUCCUUGCUUGUCUCCAAGAUGCUGUGUCUUUGCAAGGAGAGCCGUAGAAGUGAACUAUUUUUUCUCAGCAGUCAAGUCAUUUCUAGAAGCUAGAAUGAGCCUUCCUGAUGAGUUACGUCUAAGUUGAUAUAUGACACAGAUUCGCUGGCUGCCUACAUUGAACAACUCAUUGUCACACUCCUUUCAACGACAAACUACAGGUGUUGUGGUUUUGCAUGGUUAAGUACUAAGGUUCGGUUAGAGAUAAAAGAAAGAUUUUUUUUAAGGAAAUAGCAGGAGAAAAUCUAAAAAAGGGCCAAAUGUUUGUGCUCUUUUUGCUGUACUCCCUCCUAUAACAUCACCAUCGGAUGAUUAACAGGUGUCAUACAUGGAAAAAACUACACUUAUUCAAACUAGAGACGACCUCUGAUCUGAUGCUAUAUUAACAGCAAAAAACAUCGGAUGAUUAACAGGUGUCAUACAUGGAAAAAACUACACUUAUUCAAACUAGAGACGACCUCUGAUCUGAUGCUAUAUUAACAGCAAAAAACAAAAAAGAAUGGAGCUAAUGGGUACAUAAACAUACAAAUUUUUUAGAGAACUUUCACGAGUCACCUUAGUAGUUUAAACAAUGCAACAAGCUAAGCAGCCUUUUGCCCUCGAGGAAAACAAAUGGUUGAAGUGUUGAAACAUAACAUAAUUUUACCAUUUGGA
Molecule: long non-coding RNA, 1759 nt
Filed under: Cucumis sativus (cucumber)
Lineage: Eukaryota; Viridiplantae; Streptophyta; Magnoliopsida; Cucurbitales; Cucurbitaceae
Description: long non-coding RNA (CSAT_LNC001101)
Source: RNAcentral